GAGACGGAUGGGCAUGCGGCGCAUUAGCUAGUUGGCGGGGUAACGGCCCACCAAGGCGACGAUGCGUAGGGGUUCUGAGAGGAAGGUCCCCCACACUGGUACUGAGACACGGACCAGACUCCUACGGGAGGCAGCAGUGAGGAAUAUUGGUCAAUGGGCGAGAGCCUGAACCAGCCAAGUCGCGUGAGGGAGUACUGCCCUAUGGGUUGUAAACCUCUUUUGUCGGGGAGCAAAAGCCGGACGUGUCCGGCUGUGAGAGUACCCGAAGAAAAAGCAUCGGCUAACUCCGUGCCAGCAGCCGCGGUAAUACGGAGGAUGCGAGCGUUAUCCGGAUUUAUUGGGUUUAAAGGGUGCGCAGGCGGAUUUUUAAGUCAGCGGUCAAAUCGUGGGGCUCAACCCCAUCCAGCCGUUGAAACUGGGGAUCUAGAGUGUGCGAGAGGUAUGCGGAAUGCGUGGUGUAGCGGUGAAAUGCAUAGAUAUCACGCAGAACCCCGAUUGCGAAGGCAGCAUACCGGUGCACAACUGACGCUCAGGCACGAAAGCGUGGGUAUCGAACAGGAUUAGAUACCCUGGUAGUCCACGCAGUAAAC
Molecule: ribosomal RNA, 590 nt
Filed under: uncultured bacterium
Lineage: Bacteria
Description: bacterial SSU rRNA
Rfam family: Bacterial small subunit ribosomal RNA
Source: RNAcentral